AGCAGUCGCCGCGGUAAUACAGAGGGUGCGAGCGUUAAUCGGAUUUACUGGGCGUAAAGCGUUCGUAGGCGGCUUCUUAAGUCGGAUGUGAAAUCCCUGAGCUUAACUUAGGAAUUGCAUUCGAUACUGGGAAGCUAGAGUAUGGGAGAGGAUGGUAGAAUUCCAGGUGUAGCGGUGAAAUGCGUAGAGAUCUGGAGGAAUACCGAUGGCGAAGGCAGCCAUCUGGCCUAAUACUGACGCUGAGGUACGAAAGCAUGGGGAGCAAACAGGAUUAGAUACCCCAGUAGUCCCUGUCUCUUAUAC
Molecule: ribosomal RNA, 303 nt
Filed under: uncultured bacterium
Lineage: Bacteria
Description: partial 16S ribosomal RNA
Rfam family: Bacterial small subunit ribosomal RNA
Source: RNAcentral